AUAGUUGAUUAGCUUUUGCCUAUAUGAAGAAAUAGUGGUGGGACCUUCCAUGUACUCUAGUCUCACUGUUUCCCAAGCCUGUGGAGAAAAAAAAAUAUUGCAGUCUUAUUUUCUGUAAGCCACUGUACAUCUAACAAUGAAUUUGUAAAAAGAAAUUUACAAUCAUUUCAAUUUUAUAGUUGUAUAAAGAAAAGGCAUAAGAGUAUUUUAAAAUUCAGGAUAUAUUUAUGUGAUAAACUAUAUGAGAAUAAAAAUUCUUAUAAGAAUUCAAAAUACAAUUCAAACUUUUAGUUAAUACAUUAAAAAUAUCAGAAAUGUGGGUUGGAAAAAGUACUAAAAAGGAUUUAUUAUAUGUGAGAGAUAUAUACUAGAGAAGAAAGAUAAACCUGUGAAAUUCCAAACAUUUCACACCCACAAAUAUAAUACAGCAAUGCAAAUUAAGACUUCUUUGCAUUUAUAUACACAUAUAAAUCAACCAUGGCAUUGCAGAUGAUAAGAACUGUAUUAGUCAAUAUUUCUUAAACAUUUAUUACCAUGUGCCAGAUACCAUAUGUAUAGGACCUCACAAGAAUCAAGGACCAUCUCAAUUAAUUCUCUUCACUGCCCUGUGGUAAGCGGGAAAACUCUACCCAAGGCUUAGAAAACUUGCUCAAGGUUACAUAGCUAUUAAGCUGUGAAGAACAGAUUGUGAUCUGGAGCAGACUAACUUAUAAAGUCCAAGCUCUUAAGACAUAUGUAAUAUAGAUAAUUCAAUGAAACAAACUUGAAAAAUAUUUUUUUUCUUUUAGAAAGAAACAAUCUCUUAAAGUAUAGCAGUUCCUUUUAUCUGUGAUUUCACUUUCUGUGGAUUCAGUUCCCCACAGUCAAUGUCAGUCUGGACGUGGAUGAUCGUCCUGAGGCAUCCUCAGGCGGCCAGUCCAGGCCUAACACUAUGCCACAGAGCCUGCGUCACUCACCUCACUUCAUCUCAUCACGUAGGCAUUUUAUCAUCUUACAUCAUCACAAAACGAAGGCAGGGAUGGAAGACGAGCCUUUAAUACUGUGAGGUGAGGACUUGGAUCUAGAAAGCUUACCAGCACCAGGACCUCCCAAGGGCUGUCCUCUCAGCGAAGGGGUGCAUGAGGAGAGAGUAUCAGCCCACAGAUGCGGACAGAAGACAAGGAAGUAUGUGGGCUUGGAGGCAGAAUGAGAAGUCAAAACCCCAGGAACAGCCCCCAAACUGAGAAAUUAAAAUAAAAAUGGAUCCAGGUUCAACCAGUAA
Manis pentadactyla (Chinese pangolin) is the source of this 1261-nucleotide long non-coding RNA. RefSeq lists it as uncharacterized. The transcript has 2 exons. Lineage: Eukaryota; Metazoa; Chordata; Mammalia; Pholidota; Manidae. The record is from RefSeq and is a predicted model, not a curated record.